UACGAAGGGGGCUAGCGUUGUUCGGAAUUACUGGGCGUAAAGCGCGCGUAGGCGGUGAUCUUUGUCAGAGGUGAAAGCCCGGGGCUCAACCCGGGAACUGCGUCCGAUACUGGCAGGCUUGAAUCCGGGAGAGGGAUGUGGAAUUCCAGGUGUAGCGGUGAAAUGCGUAGAUAUCUGGAGGAACACCGGUGGCGAAGGCGGCAUCCUGGACCGGUAUUGACGCUGAUGCGCGAAAGCCAGGGGAGCAAACGGG
RNAcentral lists this ribosomal RNA (253 nucleotides) under uncultured bacterium. RNAcentral describes it as "partial 16S ribosomal RNA". It matches the Rfam family "Bacterial small subunit ribosomal RNA", at positions 524 to 776 of the family's 1533-position model. The record is from RNAcentral.